GUUCGGUCCCUAUCCAUCGUGGGCGUAGGAAAAUUGAGAAGGGCUGUUCCUAGUACGAGAGGACCGGAAUGGACAUACCUCUGGUGUAUCUGUUGUAACGCCAGUUGCAGUGCAGAGUAGCUAUGUAUGGAAGGGAUAAUCGCUGAGAGCAUCUAAGCGAGAAGCCCUCUUCAAGAUGAGUUUUCCCAUAUUUUAUAUAGUAAGAUCCCUUGUAGACUACGAGGUUGAUAGGCUAGAGGUGGAAGCGUAGUGAUACGUUGAGCUGACUAGUACUAAUAGAUCGAGGAUUUAAUCAU
RNAcentral lists this ribosomal RNA (296 nucleotides) under Bacilli bacterium. RNAcentral's name for it is "partial 23S ribosomal RNA". It matches the Rfam family "Bacterial large subunit ribosomal RNA", at positions 2629 to 2925 of the family's 2925-position model. The record is from RNAcentral. Lineage: Bacteria; Bacillati; Bacillota; Bacilli.